This 253-nucleotide ribosomal RNA is filed under the name uncultured bacterium. RNAcentral describes it as "partial 16S ribosomal RNA". It matches the Rfam family "Bacterial small subunit ribosomal RNA", at positions 524 to 776 of the family's 1533-position model. The record is from RNAcentral.
UACGUAGGGCGCAAGCGUUAUCCGGAAUUAUUGGGCGUAAAGAGCUCGUAGGCGGUUUGUCGCGUCUGCCGUGAAAGUCCGGGGCUCAACUCCGGAUCUGCGGUGGGUACGGGCAGACUAGAGUGCAGUAGGGGAGACUGGAAUUCCUGGUGUAGCGGUGAAAUGCGCAGAUAUCAGGAGGAACACCGAUGGCGAAGGCAGGUCUCUGGGCUGUAACUGACGCUGAGGAACGAAAGCAUGGGGAGCGAACAGG